RNA transcript from Diospyros lotus (date-plum), 2714 nucleotides. It is a transcript of the gene named protein ANTI-SILENCING 1, with no coding region annotated. The record is from RefSeq and is a predicted model, not a curated record. The transcript has 13 exons. NCBI's taxonomy places the organism in Eukaryota, Viridiplantae, Streptophyta, Magnoliopsida, Ericales, Ebenaceae.
CCAACUGCGGUUUUUCCCUCUUUCCCUCCCUCCGUCGCGACAAUACAGCUUCACGCUCCUUCGAACGUCGGCCACCGCCAUAAUACCGCCUCGCCGCAACGCCGGGGCACUUUUCUCCGGCGAAGCUCACUGCACCAAAUCAGCCGCACAUGCUCGACUCAGUUGGUGUCCAACGAGGUUUUUACCACCGAGGCCCUAUUUUCACCGACUAGGGUUUCGAGCACAGAGAAACCCUACAUCCUUUUCAGGUUAUUUCCUUUGGACACUGAUUGCUAGCUACUUGGUUUGGUUGGAGGCUUGCAGAUAUGCCCCACUUAGCAGAAACAGAUCAUAUCGAGGACCUUGAAUUUACUUGGGGUAAAAAGAGAGGAGUUGGUGGGAAAAAUAAGGAUAUCAGGUUUUAUGAAUCUUUUACUUAUGAUGGUGUUGAGUAUGCUCUUCAUGAUUGUGUAUACAUGUACAAGGAAGGUGAACCAGAACCAUACAUUGGGAAGCUGACAAAGAUAUGGGAAACUCCUGACAAGAAUAAGAAAGUAAAGGUUCAAUGGUUUUUCCACCCUUUAGAAAUCUCGAAUUGGCUUGGAGACACAGUAUUACUUGAGAAAGAAGUUUUUUUGGCUUCGGGUAAAGGUGUUGGUGCAGAAAAUGUCAAUCCUCUGGGAGCAAUUGCUGGAAAAUGCAAUGUCAUAUGCAUUUCAAAGGACAGUAGAAAUCGUCAACCUUCAGCACAGGAACUUCACAUGGCUGACUACGUAUUUUAUCGUACUUUUGAUGUUGAACACUGCACUAUAUCAGAUAGGAUAGAUGAUAAAGUCGCUGGGCUCGAAGUUAACUUUGUAUUUAAUAAGAGAGAUAGUGGAACGAUCAGUGAUACUCCCAAACUUGAUUUUGACAAGAAAGAGGAGGCCCUAGCAUUCAAAACACCUCAGCUUUCGGGGCAAGACUUGCCUGCAGAGUUCAGAACUGGAGCAAAAGAUGAAAGUGUACAUCAUCUGGUGGAAAAAAUAAGUGAAGAUGAGAAGGACUCACUGGUCGGAUUGAAAUUUUCACCUAGAGGCAAACCUGCUUCUGGUUUUGCCAUGGAUUCUGGCGAUGUGGAUACAGCCAGUGUUCAACAGGGCUCUAUUUCAGUAGAGAAAGCCACGAGGUAUAGAAUUAAUUCUGAUCAGGAUAAAACUAAAAUGAGUAAAGUUGUUAUGGAUCAUGUUCGGGUUCAAGAUGAAGUAAAAUAUGCAAAAGAGUCUAGUGCUUUGGAGAACAAGAUGUCUAAGAAACUAAAAACUGAAUGUUCUAUCGAAUUUUCUAAGAUCAGAAAUUUGAAUAGUGAUCAGAAGUUAACUAUUCAUGAGAAUAAUGAUACUUCCCUUGUAAGGAAAGCAAAACCUAGAGAGGAUUUCUCGGCCUUGGAGAAGGGUGUAAAAUCUGAAGAUGCUGGUACUUUGGAUGAUAGGCCUUCUAAGAAAGCUAGGGUUGAUGGUUGCCUCAAGUUAUUUGAGGCCCAGGACAAUAAUGAUGUCAAGAGAUCGAGCAUCAAAACUAAUGUGGAUGAUGCAAUGGACUUGGGAGCCACUCUUACCUCUAAAGUGAUAACAAAACCAAGUGUUACUUCUUGUGGGCCUAAUAAGGACCCUAAGCCGAAGACUAGUGAAAAGAUCACAAAGCUUUCCAAUGGCAAGUUGCCUAAUGUAUCUCAAGGCUCUCCUUCUAAGAACAGACGGAUUGAAGGCGAAGUCACUCGAAGACCUGAGGAUAGAGAGAUUGAAGGUGAAGUCACUCAAAGACCAGAUGAUGAGAGAAGCAGAUGGUUUAGGGAACGUCCUUGGGAUGAAAGAAUGAAGAAAGCAUAUAACCUAGGAACUCUUGUCCACCUCUUGAAUUUGGAUCCAGAAUAUACAUCACGAGACGUGGAAGAUAUUAUUUGGCAAGCUUUUAAGGAAUAUUGCUCUGCAAAAAUGGUACAACGCACUGGAAUUUCUAGUCCGCACUCUGGUGAAGCUUUUAUCAUUUUGAGAACAAAUGGAGCCGCAAACAAAAUUGUCAAAGAAUUGGAUGAAGGGUGCUUGAUGUUAUCAAAUGGGAGGCCUCUUGUUGGUGCACCUCCUCCACCUCAAUUAAGAGAGGAUCCCGCAUUUUUUGGUCAUCUCUUCAUUGAUAGAGUUAGAUUCCAAAUGCAAAGGGAGAUGAGAGAUGCUGUAUCUACUUCACAUUUUUCUCAGCCCAACACAAUCGAGUAUGAAAUGGCUAUGGAAUGGCGUUUACUACAGUCUAGAUCUGAUCGUUGGUGGAAGCAGCUGUAUGAGGAACAAGGGGAGCAGCUGAGGAUGGUCAAGGGUAAACUUAGAAGACGUUGAAGUGAGCACCGCACUGUAAGAACUAUGAUUUUUUGUUUCAUUCUACACCUUUUCUAUUUUCAAUUGCCUCCUGAAGUGAAGGUUGUCUUUAUGAUUUUGACAAGAGAAGAAAUGAUGUCCCGAAAGGACAUGGGAACGAGCGGAUAGUUGGUUGGAAAGGAAGAGACAAAUUUUUGUUGUGAAAAUUAUAUUCCAAAAUCUAAAGCAUGUGGCUGUCCUGUGGAAUUGGAUUUUUGUGAAGUUGAUGGUCUCCAAUUAUUAAGAAUCUCUUUUGUACAUUUACAGCUUUUAGUACAUUGAUUGAUAAUCCAGAGUAUCUUCCUAUCCCAUUCAAAUACCAAAUUUAGUUUUGAUUUUUUCCAA